UACGGAGGGUGCGCGCGUUGUCCGGAUUUAUUGGGCUUAAAGGGUGCGUAGGGGGCUUAAUAAGUCAGUGGUGAAAUACAUCCGCUCAACGGAUGAGGUGCCAUUGAUACUGUUAAGCUUGAAACAAGUGGAGGCUGCCGGAAUGGAUGGUGUAGCGGUGAAAUGCAUAGAUAUCAUCCAGAACACCGAUUGCGAAGGCAGGUGGCUACGUUUGAUUUGACACUGAGGCACGAAAGCAUGGGGAGCAAACAGG
RNAcentral lists this ribosomal RNA (253 nucleotides) under uncultured bacterium. RNAcentral describes it as "partial 16S ribosomal RNA". It matches the Rfam family "Bacterial small subunit ribosomal RNA", at positions 524 to 776 of the family's 1533-position model. The record is from RNAcentral.